GAUGAACGCUAGCGGCAGGCUUAACACAUGCAAGUCGAGGGGCAGCACGGGUAGCAAUACCUGGUGGCGACCGGCGCAAGGGUGCGUAACGCGUGAGCAACAUGCCCUAUACAGGGGGAUAAUCCAGGGAAACUUGGUCUAAUAUCCCAUAGCAUUUAGAGGAGGCAUCUUCACUAAAUUAAAGCUUCGGUGGUAUAGGAUUGGCUCGCGUGACAUUAGCUAGAUGGUGAGGUAACGGCCCACCAUGGCUAUGAUGUCCAGGGGUUCUGAGAGGAAGACCCCCCACACUGGGACUGAGACACGGCCCAGACUCCUACGGGAGGCAGCAGUGAGGAAUAUUGGACAAUGGAUGGAAAUCUGAUCCAGCCAUGCCGCGUGCAGGAAGACGGCCCUAUGGGUUGUAAACUGCUUUUAUAUGGGAGCAAUAAGGUUUACGAGUAGACCGAUGAGAGUACCAUAUGAAUAAGCAUCGGCUAAC
Molecule: ribosomal RNA, 478 nt
Filed under: uncultured bacterium
Lineage: Bacteria
Description: bacterial SSU rRNA
Rfam family: Bacterial small subunit ribosomal RNA
Source: RNAcentral